CCUGAUCGCAGCUAGGAAGCGGAUUUGGUAGAGGUACUCAGUUGGCUGCUUUUGUUGUUCUAUAACUUAGAUUCCCAAGAUAGGAAUAUGUGAGUUAACAUCACACUCUUCUUUGAAAGUACCACUAGGUUAUUUCUAAUCUACAUCAUGGAAGCAAAUCCACAACUAUGUAAUGCACCUUGAUGAACCUUGAUGAAGAUUCAGGUCGAAAU
Non-coding RNA from Pelobates cultripes (western spadefoot toad), 212 nucleotides. The record is from the annotation of a GenBank genome assembly. NCBI's taxonomy places the organism in Eukaryota, Metazoa, Chordata, Amphibia, Anura, Pelobatidae.